UAGAGAAAAACUCUGGUGAUGUGCUCCAGG
This 30-nucleotide non-coding RNA is filed under the name Homo sapiens (human). The record is from RNAcentral. Lineage: Eukaryota; Metazoa; Chordata; Mammalia; Primates; Hominidae.